Molecule: ribosomal RNA, 433 nt
Filed under: uncultured bacterium
Lineage: Bacteria
Description: partial 16S ribosomal RNA
Rfam family: Bacterial small subunit ribosomal RNA
Source: RNAcentral
AACGAACGCUGGCGGCAUGCCUAACACAUGCAAGUCGAACGAAGGCUUCGGCCUUAGUGGCGCACGGGUGCGUAACGCGUGGGAAUCUGCCCUUUGGUUCGGAAUAACAGCUGGAAACGGCUGCUAAUACCGGAUGAUGACGAAAGUCCAAAGAUUUAUCGCCAGAGGAUGAGCCCGCGUUGGAUUAGGUAGUUGGUGGGGUAAAGGCCUACCAAGCCGACGAUCCAUAGCUGGUCUGAGAGGAUGAUCAGCCACACUGGGACUGAGACACGGCCCAGACUCCUACGGGAGGCAGCAGUUGGGAAUAUUGGACAAUGGGCGAAAGCCUGAUCCAGCAAUGCCGCGUGAGUGAUGAAGGCCCUAGGGUUGUAAAGCUCUUUUACCCGGGAAGAUAAUGACUGUACCGGGAGAAUAAGCCCCGGCUAACUCCGUG